UUGGGGCCCAUGACAGAGAAAGCCCUGUCCCCUCUGAGCUUCCUUCUUGAUCUCGGUACCUCCAAAAGCAGCUGAUCUGCGGACCUAAGAGACCGAUAAGGUAUGUAUGGGUGAAGAAGCUCAGAGAGGUAAGCCGGGGCAAGAUUAUGUAGUGAUUUAAAAACAAACAUAAGAAUUUUAAAAUUAAUGCUAAAAUAUACAGGCAGCCAGGGAAGUGAGGCCAGGACAGGGGUCACGUGUUCCCUCUUUCGAGUUCCUGUCAGCAGUCGUGCAGCAGCAUUCUGUACUAGCUGCAGACGUGAGAGCAGCGACUGACUAACUCCCAGAUAAAGUGCGUUACAGUAAUCCAAUCGAGUUGAAAUAAAAGCAUGGAUCACUGUUUCAAAAUGCUGCCUGGAAAGAAAAGAUUUCACUGACGCCAAUCGCCUUAAAUGAUAAAAGCUGGACUUAACCAUGGCUCUGAUUUGGCUAUCCAAUUUAAAAUCACUGUCCACCUUAAAACCAAGAUCUGUAAUAACAGGUUUAAAAUAAACCUCCAAGGGUCCCAGGUCAACAGAGGAGGACUCACAGGAGCCACUGGGUCCAAACACCAUCACCUCUGUUUUGUUUUCAUUAAAAUUUAAAAAGUUCAAGGCCAACCAAGCUUUAAUAUCACCUAGACAUGCCAGGAGAUGUUUGAUAGAAUGUACAUCCUUUUGCUUCAGGGGCAAAUAAAUCUGACAAUCAUCAGCGUAACAAUGAAACGGAAUCCCAUGUUUCCUGAGGACAGAACCCAGAGGCAGUAAAUAAAGAGAGAAAAGCAGUGGGCCCAGAAUGGAGCCCUGUGGGACGCCAUAAGGCAUUGAAGCAGUAGAUGAUUCAGAGUCACCAAUCUUGACUGAGAUUGUUCUCUCCUCCAGGUAAGACCUGAACCAUUUAAGAACAGUGCCACCAAUACCUACAACAUGGUGUAAUCGCGAUAUUAAAAUGUCGUGGUCUACUGUAUCAAAAGCAGCAGUUAGGUCAAGUAAAAUCAGAACAACAUGGUUACCAGAAUCACAUGCAAGAAGGAUGUCAUUAAAAACUCUUAUUAAAGCAGAUUCUGUGCUAUGAAGAGUUUUAAAACCUGACUGGAAAACCUCCAGAAUGCCAUUGUAAUCUAAAAACUGUUUCAGCUGACAGUACACAAGUUUUUCUAAAACCUUAGAAAGAAAAGGCAGCUUCGAAAUAGGUCGAUAAUUAGCCAGAACAGUUUGAUCAAGGCCAGGUUUUUUAAGCAGUGGUUGCACUACUGCAUGUUUAAAACUAGCAGGGACCACACCUGAUGACAGACUGCUAUUUAUAAUUGCAAGAACAGGCUGCCCUAUGCUAGGUAAGAUAUCUUUAAAAAAUCGUGGAGGGACAGGAUCACGAGGGGAACCUGAUGGCUUAAUAUGGCCAACCGCGUCCUCUAAAAGUGAGACAGUCACAGGCACAAACUGAUCGAAAGCAGCCGAGCGAGGGACCAAAACAGAGGGGUCAGAGUCAGGAGCUGUGAUAAGAGCCCUGGUACUACCAACCUUUUCAAUAAAAAAAUGCAGAAAAUCAUCACACACAUCAGGAGAAGCUUCCAAACAGGCAUUCUGUGGAAUAUUAAGCAGAGAGUCAAUGGUGUUAAAUAAAACACGUUGGUUAUGGCAGUUUGAGAGAAUGAUAUUUGCCAAAUAUUCCCUUUUUGCCUCUUUAACCGUGCUCUGGUAGAGACGCCAACAGUCUUUUAAAAUCUGAAAAGUAAUUUGCAAUUUAUCCUUUUUCCACCUGCGUUCAACACGACGACAUUCCUUCCUUGCAGCACGAGUUCUGUCAUUAAACCAAGGCUCAGGUUUAAUCCUUGGCUGCCUGGUUUUUAAUGGAGCAACCGAGUCCAGGAUGGUUUGGGAGGAAGAAUAGAACCAGGACCAGAGCUCUUCUGUAUCAGAGUGGAGAAAGUCAGAUCAUCCACAGAGCUGAAGAAAAGCAGUAGAGAACUGAGUGGCAGUGGAAGGGUUAAUAAUCCGACAGCGCCGAGGAGCAGCGCGAGUUUUAACUGCAAUAGGUGUCAAACUGACAUUGAAUAAAACAGGCAGGUGAUCCGAGAACACGGAGUCACAGAUUUCCAGGUUAGUCACAGGCAGACCACAGGAAAUGACCAGGUCCAGUGUGUGUCCGUGCUCAUGUGUUGGGCUGGAUACAGCCUGCACCAAAUUAAAAGAGUCCAGGAGGCUUAAAAAGUCCUUUACCAGAGGUUUAUCAGGACAACACACGUGUAUAUUGAAGUCUCCAACAAUAAGAACAUGUUCAUAGUUAGUUAUAAUCCCAGAUAAAAAGUCAGAGAAAUCGCUUAUAAAAUCCUUAUUAUAUUUGGGGGGCCGGUAGACGACAGCACAGAAAACUGGGUUUACGUGUCUCAUCUCAAAUGCCGUAAACUCAAAGCUGGGGAAAGACGUCUGUAGAAAACACUGCUUACAUCUGUAGUCCUGCUUGUAAACAGUCGCUGUGCCUCCUCCUCUUCCCGAAGCCCGUGGUGAAUUAAAAUAAGAACAGUCCGCUGGUAAAAGCUCAGAUAGAGCACUGGACUCACCAACACUCAACCUUGUCUCAGUCACACACAGGAAAUCCAGGUCUUGGUGACUAAAAAAGUCCCGAAGAAUAAAAGUUUUAUUCCCAAGCGACCUGGCGUUUACCAGACCAAUCCUGACAGGAACUGGAUCAUGGGCUUCGACAAGUCAGGAAACCCGACACAGCGGUCUCAGGUUUUGGAGACACUGUCGGCGCAUGUUGAGCCGGGAAAGGCAAGGGCGGCGGUGCAGAGGGGCCUCAACGCCGACCACGGGCACCAAGCAGACAUCAACGGGAUCCAAGAAACGCCGAGGCACCCGAGAGCCUAGAAAUGAUCCAUACGAUGAUCGGGUAAAAGGAGAGCAGUGCGUCAGAUAAAAUUUCAGCUUCACCAGCCGGCCGCUUCGUCUACCACGACGACGUCUCCUCCGUGGAAGCAGCGCAGGAACCCGGAACAGGAAACAGCAUCAAGGGCACAAGCGGGUCCAGCAACUCCUUUUGCCACCUAGAGUAUUGUUUCAUAGGUGAUUCAUAGGCCUCAACCCAGAAAAUGGAACAAAAGCUGCAAAUGGAAAAGUGACAUCAACCAACAAGACGACUUAUGCAGAACACAGCAGUGAACCUGCAUGUCUCCAUUCUCCUCCUUCAUGAGCCAUGUAAUUUUACCAUUUUAAAAUGGUAAAAUUACACAUUUACACUCCAUCUCUCUCCCUGUCUGUCUUUUUCUCCGUCUGUCUCUCUGUAUCUGUUCUGUCCAUUUCUAAUAGACAGACAGGAGGACAGAACAAUGAAGGAAGGUCAGAGAGAGUCUUUCCUUUUCAUCCUGUCUGUCUUUAACUGAUAUGAAUGUAGUUUGGAAACUUUGACAUUUGGGUACUUUUGUUUUAGUAAAAAUUAUUUAAUUAAUUGUACUCAAUGUCAUAUUAUCAUGAUUGUAAAUGUAUCAGUUAUGUUUUUAGAUCUGACUAUUUUUCACUUUCGUUGCAAUACUUUGACUUUUGUGUAACAAGCAAAUAUUGCUGCUGCAAAAUACUGUAUUUUGUUUUGCUUCAGUUUGUCAGAUUUAAAUUGACAAUAAAAUCAAGUGAUUUUAAAAUAUACAUGUAUGUUUUUUUAAUUAGAAAAAUAUAUAUUUUUUGUGAGUUUGGUCAAUUAAGUUGCAGGUUCACAUUUAAACUUUUAAAAGCUAGCAAAGUAUGCAGUUUCAUGAACGACUGAAAAAUGACAACUUUUUGUAAUUGUGACUAGUUUAAAUGCUGUUAAAAUGUGUUGUCAUAUGGCAAGAGUUUAUACCUUUUGUAGUAAAGUGCCUGCA
Molecule: long non-coding RNA, 3871 nt
Organism: Xiphophorus maculatus (southern platyfish)
Lineage: Eukaryota; Metazoa; Chordata; Actinopteri; Cyprinodontiformes; Poeciliidae
Exons: 3
Source: RefSeq, a predicted model, not a curated record